GAUGAACGCUGGCGGCGUGCCUAAUACAUGCAAGUCGAGCGAACAGACGAGGAGCUUGCUCCUCUGACGUUAGCGGCGGACGGGUGAGUAACACGUGGAUAACCUACCUAUAAGACUGGGAUAACUUCGGGAAACCGGAGCUAAUACCGGAUAAUAUAUUGAACCGCAUGGUUCAAUAGUGAAAGACGGUUUUGCUGUCACUUAUAGAUGGAUCCGCGCCGCAUUAGCUAGUUGGUAAGGUAACGGCUUACCAAGGCAACGAUGCGUAGCCGACCUGAGAGGGUGAUCGGCCACACUGGAACUGAGACACGGUCCAGACUCCUACGGGAGGCAGCAGUAGGGAAUCUUCCGCAAUGGGCGAAAGCCUGACGGAGCAACGCCGCGUGAGUGAUGAAGGUCUUCGGAUCGUAAAACUCUGUUAUUAGGGAAGAACAAAUGCGUAAGUAACUAUGCACGUCUUGACGGUACCUAAUCAGAAAGCCACGGCUAACUACGUA
RNAcentral lists this ribosomal RNA (497 nucleotides) under uncultured bacterium. Its description in RNAcentral is "partial 16S ribosomal RNA". It matches the Rfam family "Bacterial small subunit ribosomal RNA", at positions 28 to 507 of the family's 1533-position model. The record is from RNAcentral.